UACGGGGGGAGCAAGCGUUGUUCGGAUUUACUGGGCGUAAAGGGCGCGUAGGCGGCGCAACAAGUCACUUGUGAAAUCUCCGGGCUUAACCCGGAGCGGGCAAGUGAUACUGUCGUGCUAGAGUGCGGAAGGGGCUACUGGAAUUCUCGGUGUAGCGGUGAAAUGCGUAGAUAUCGAGAGGAACACCUGCGGCGAAGGCGGGUAGCUGGGCCGACACUGACGCUGAGGCGCGAAAGCCAGGGGAGCGAACGGG
This 253-nucleotide ribosomal RNA is filed under the name uncultured bacterium. RNAcentral's name for it is "partial 16S ribosomal RNA". It matches the Rfam family "Bacterial small subunit ribosomal RNA", at positions 524 to 776 of the family's 1533-position model. The record is from RNAcentral.